UAGGGAAUCUUCCACAAUGGACGCAAGUCUGAUGGAGCAACGCCGCGUGAGUGAAGAAGGUUUUCGGACCGUAAAGCUCUGUUGUUGGUGAAGAAGGAUAGAGGUAGUAACUGGCCUUUAUUUGACGGUAAUCAACCAGAAAGUCACGGCUAACUACGUGCCAGCAGCCGCGGUAAUACGUAGGUGGCAAGCGUUGUCCGGAUUUAUUGGGCGUAAAAGCGAGCGCAGGCGGAAGAAUAAGUCUGAUGUGAAAGCCCUCGGCUUAAAC
RNAcentral lists this ribosomal RNA (268 nucleotides) under uncultured bacterium. RNAcentral describes it as "partial 16S ribosomal RNA". It matches the Rfam family "Bacterial small subunit ribosomal RNA", at positions 355 to 614 of the family's 1533-position model. The record is from RNAcentral.